Molecule: long non-coding RNA, 861 nt
Organism: Betta splendens (Siamese fighting fish)
Lineage: Eukaryota; Metazoa; Chordata; Actinopteri; Anabantiformes; Osphronemidae
Exons: 2
Source: RefSeq, a predicted model, not a curated record
UCCUUGACCUCUCGCCAGUGAGAAGCGAAGCGAGUGGAGCGAUGCAAAACUGAGACAAGAGUAUGUGUCCAUGUGUCUUAUUGGCUAGAGGCUAAUAUAUGUGUCAGGGAUGUCUACUUCGGCUGGAGCAACGGGAGAGAGUUACCACAAUAUCCACAGCGAAGGUACAGACGAGGUUCAGGCAUGAAUCGGGGGUCAAAGACAGGCGCAAUCAGCAAACGGGACACUCGAUAAGAACGGUGGAAUGCGGUACAAGAACUCGACAAUCUGGCGAGAAGGAUUUGAUCCACACCAUCGGGAGAGCGCUGCUCUGGGAGCUGCAGGGUUCGUCAUCUGGGGGGACCUGAACCUGACCUCAUCCAGGGUAGGUGUCUGUCAGCCUGUAAUCAAGGAGAAGACCACGAUCAGUCAGCUGAUGAGGAUGGAACAUGUUCUUUUACUCAGGUUCAUGCAGUCACAUACACAUAAACAGGGCACAAAUGCAACCUGCUCAUAAAGGCCUGUGUUCGACCUGCGUGGAUCUGGCAAACUUUGGAAGAACAACAUUCAACGUGGUCAUUUGUCUCUGAACUGAGGACCGUCACAAAUGACAUGGAACAUCUGCAGGUUGCAUUUCCUGGUCUUUCACAAUAAAAGGGCUGACCUUGGUUUAACCUGAAUUAUCAUAAUAAUUCUUUGUUCGUCAUAUGCCACACACAGUGUCACGAUGACAUUUGCAGCCGUCAUCACUGCAAAGUUAAGUUACUGUGUUUUACUUGUUCUAAUAAAACUACAAGCUAAAAACGAAACAUUAACUAUACAACAUGUUGAAAAUGUCAGCUGGACGUAAGUGCACUGCCAAUAAAGACUAAGUGAAGCGGA